GUCGGGAGUCUUGCACAAUGGGGGAAACCCUGAUGCAGCGACGUCGCGUGUGGGAUGAAGUAUUUCGGUAUGUAAACCACUUUUGCGGGGGGCGAAAAAAAUGACGGUACCCCGCGAAUAAGCCCCGGCUAACUACGUGCCAGCAGCCGCGGUAAUACGUAGGGGGCGAGCGUUGCUCGGAUUGACUGGGCGUAAAGCGCGCGCAGGCGGUCCAUGAAGUGUGCGGUGAAAUUCGGAGGCUCAACCUCCGUCCCGCCGCGCAAACUGGUGGUCUUGAGAUGGGGAGGGGGAUGCGGAAGUCCUGGUGUAGCGGUGAAAUGCAUUGAUAUCAGGAGGAACACCGGCGGCGAAAGCGGCAUCCUGGCUUAUAUCUGACGCUGAGGCGCGAAAGCGUGGGUAGCAAACAGGAUUAGAUACCCGAGUAGUCC
This 428-nucleotide ribosomal RNA is filed under the name uncultured bacterium. RNAcentral's name for it is "partial 16S ribosomal RNA". It matches the Rfam family "Bacterial small subunit ribosomal RNA", at positions 354 to 796 of the family's 1533-position model. The record is from RNAcentral.